RNAcentral lists this ribosomal RNA (393 nucleotides) under uncultured bacterium. RNAcentral's name for it is "partial 16S ribosomal RNA". It matches the Rfam family "Bacterial small subunit ribosomal RNA", at positions 523 to 918 of the family's 1533-position model. The record is from RNAcentral.
AUACGGAGGAUGCAAGCGUUAUCCGGAUUUAUUGGGUUUAAAGGGUGCGUAGGCGGUUUGCUAAGCGGGAGGUGAAAUGCCGGCGCUCAACGUUGGAAGUGCCUCCCGAACUGGUGGACUUGAAUGACUCUGCCGUGGGAGGAAUGUGUAGUGUAGCGGUGAAAUGCUUAGAGAUUACACAGAACACCGAUUGCGAAGGCAUCUCACGAAGGGUUGAUUGACGCUGAGGCACGAAAGCGUGGGGAUCAAACAGGAUUAGAUACCCUGGUAGUCCACGCAGUAAACGAUGAUGGCUAACCGCUGGAUCCAUCGGUUCAGUGGCCAAGCGAAAGCGAUAAGCCAUCCACCUGGGGAGUACGACCGCAAGGUUGAAACUCAAAUGAAUUGACGGGG